GGUCAAGUGAAGAAGCGCAUACGGUGGAUGCCUUGGCAGUCAGAGGCGAUGAAAGACGUGGUAGCCUGCGAAAAGCUUCGGGGAGUCGGCAAACAGACUGUGAUCCGGAGAUGUCUGAAUGGGGGAACCCAGCCAUCACAAGAUGGUUAUCUUACACUGAAUACAUAGGUGUAAGAGGCGAACCAGGGGAACUGAAACAUCUAAGUACCCUGAGGAAAAGAAAUCAACCGAGAUUCCCUUAGUAGUGGCGAGCGAACGGGGACCAGCCCUUAAGUUGUAUUGAGAUUAGCGGAACGCUCUGGAAAGUGCGGCCAUAGUGGGUGAUAGCCCUGUACGCGAAAAUCCCUUUGCAAUGAAAUCGAGUAGGACGGGGCACGAGAAACCUUGUCUGAAUAUGGGGGGACCAUCCUCCAAGGCUAAAUACUACUGACUGACCGAUAGUGAACCAGUACCGUGAGGGAAAGGCGAAAAGAACCGCGGAGAGCGGAGUGAAAUAGAUCCUGAAACCGUAUGCGUACAAGCAGUGGGAGCCCACUUUGUUGGGUGACUGCGUACCUUUUGUAUAAUGGGUCAGCGACUUAUUUUCAGUGGCGAGCUUAACCGAAUAGGGAGGCGUAGCGAAAGCGAGUCUUAAUAGGGCGUCUAGUCGCUGGGAAUAGACCCGAAACCGGGCGAUCUAUCCAUGGGCAGGUUGAAGGUUGGGUAACACUAACUGGAGGACCGAACCGACUACCGUUGAAAAGUUAGCGGAUGACCUGUGGAUCGGAGUGAAAGGCUAAUCAAGCUCGGAGAUAGCUGGUUCUCCUCGAAAGCUAUUUAGGUAGCGCCUCAUGUAUCACUGUAGGGGGUAGAGCACUGUUUCGGCUAGGGGUCAUCCCGACUUACCAAACCGAUGCAAACUCCGAAUACCUACAAGUGCCGAGCAUGGGAGACACACGGCGGGUGCUAACGUCCGUCGUGAAAAGGGAAACAACCCAGACCGUCAGCUAAGGUCCCAAAGUCAUGGUUAAGUGGGAAACGAUGUGGGAAGGCUUAGACAGCUAGGAGGUUGGCUUAGAAGCAGCCACCCUUUAAAGAAAGCGUAAUAGCUCACUAGUCGAGUCGGCCUGCGCGGAAGAUGUAACGGGGCUCAAACCAUGCACCGAAGCUACGGGUAUCACCUUUGGUGAUGCGGUAGAGGAGCGUUCUGUAAGCCUGUGAAGGUGAGUUGAGAAGCUUGCUGGAGGUAUCAGAAGUGCGAAUGCUGACAUGAGUAACGACAAUGGGUGUGAAAAACACCCACGCCGAAAGACCAAGGUUUCCUGCGCAACGUUAAUCGACGCAGGGUUAGUCGGUCCCUAAGGCGAGGCUGAAAAGCGUAGUCGAUGGAAAACAGGUUAAUAUUCCUGUACUUCUGGUUAUUGCGAUGGAGGGACGGAGAAGGCUAGGCCAGCCUGGCGUUGGUAGUCCAGGUUUAAGGUGGUAGGCUGAGAUCUUAGGUAAAUCCGGGAUCUUAAGGCCGAGAGCUGAUGACGAGUGUUCUUUUAGAACAUGAAGUGGUUGAUGCCAUGCUUCCAAGAAAAGCUUCUAAGCUUCAGGUAACCAGGAACCGUACCCCAAACCGACACAGGUGGUUGGGUAGAGAAUACCAAGGCGCUUGAGAGAACUCGGGUGAAGGAACUAGGCAAAAUGGCACCGUAACUUCGGGAGAAGGUGCGCCGGUGAGGGUGAAGCAUUUACUGCGUAAGCCCACGCCGGUCGAAGAUACCAGGCCGCUGCGACUGUUUAUUAAAAACACAGCACUCUGCAAACACGAAAGUGGACGUAUAGGGUGUGACGCCUGCCCGGUGCCGGAAGGUUAAUUGAUGGGGUUAGCGCAAGCGAAGCUCUUGAUCGAAGCCCCGGUAAACGGCGGCCGUAACUAUAACGGUCCUAAGGUAGCGAAAUUCCUUGUCGGGUAAGUUCCGACCUGCACGAAUGGCGUAACGAUGGCGGCGCUGUCUCCACCCGAGACUCAGUGAAAUUGAAAUCGCUGUGAAGAUGCAGUGUAUCCGCGGCUAGACGGAAAGACCCCGUGAACCUUUACUAUAGCUUUGCACUGGACUUUGAAUUUGCUUGUGUAGGAUAGGUGGGAGGCUUUGAAGCGUGGACGCCAGUCUGCGUGGAGCCAACCUUGAAAUACCACCCUGGCAACUUUGAGGUUCUAACUCAGGUCCGUUAUCCGGAUCGAGGACAGUGUAUGGUGGGUAGUUUGACUGGGGCGGUCUCCUCCUAAAGAGUAACGGAGGAGUACGAAGGUGCGCUCAGACCGGUCGGAAAUCGGUCGUAGAGUAUAAAGGCAAAAGCGCGCUUGACUGCGAGACAGACACGUCGAGCAGGUACGAAAGUAGGUCUUAGUGAUCCGGUGGUUCUGUAUGGAAGGGCCAUCGCUCAACGGAUAAAAGGUACUCCGGGGAUAACAGGCUGAUACCGCCCAAGAGUUCAUAUCGACGGCGGUGUUUGGCACCUCGAUGUCGGCUCAUCACAUCCUGGGGCUGAAGCCGGUCCCAAGGGUAUGGCUGUUCGCCAUUUAAAGUGGUACGCGAGCUGGGUUUAGAACGUCGUGAGACAGUUCGGUCCCUAUCUGCCGUGGACGUUUGAGAUUUGAGAGGGGCUGCUCCUAGUACGAGAGGACCGGAGUGGACGAACCUCUGGUGUUCCGGUUGUCACGCCAGUGGCAUUGCCGGGUAGCUAUGUUCGGAAAAGAUAACCGCUGAAAGCAUCUAAGCGGGAAACUUGCCUCAAGAUGAGAUCUCACUGGAACCUAGAGUUCCCUGAAGGGCCGUCGAAGACUACGACGUUGAUAGGUUGGGUGUGUAAGCGCUGUGAGGCGUUGAGCUAACCAAUACUAAUUGCCCGUGAGGCUUGACCAU
RNAcentral lists this ribosomal RNA (2891 nucleotides) under Pseudomonas syringae pv. actinidiae. RNAcentral's name for it is "23S ribosomal RNA". It matches the Rfam family "Bacterial large subunit ribosomal RNA". Lineage: Bacteria; Pseudomonadati; Pseudomonadota; Gammaproteobacteria; Pseudomonadales; Pseudomonadaceae. The record is from RNAcentral.